CCUACGUGAGGCAGCAGUGGGGAAUAUUGCGCAAUGGGCGAAAGCCUGACGCAGCGACGCCGCGUGAGGGAUGAAGGUCUUCGGAUCGUAAACCUCUGUCAGCAGGGAAGAACGGUCACUGUGCUAAUCAGCAGUGAAUUGACGGUACCUGCAAAGGAAGCACCGGCUAACUCCGUGCCAGCAGCCGCGGUAAUACGGAGGGUGCGAGCGUUAAUAGGAAUUACUGGGCGUAAAGCGCUCGUAGGCGGUAUGUCAAGUCAAGGGUGAAAUCCCCGCGCUCAACGUGGGAACUGCCUUUGAAACUGGCAAACUGGAGUGUGUGAGAGGAUAGUGGAAUUCCAGGUGUAGGAGUGAAAUCCGUAGAUAUCUGGAGGAACAUCAGUGGCGAGGGCGACUAUCUGGCACAUAACUGACGCUGAGGAGCGAAAGCGUGGGUAGCAAACAGGAUUAGAUACCCUUGUAGUC
Molecule: ribosomal RNA, 465 nt
Filed under: uncultured bacterium
Lineage: Bacteria
Description: partial 16S ribosomal RNA
Rfam family: Bacterial small subunit ribosomal RNA
Source: RNAcentral